Molecule: long non-coding RNA, 2469 nt
Organism: Hylaeus volcanicus
Lineage: Eukaryota; Metazoa; Arthropoda; Insecta; Hymenoptera; Colletidae
Exons: 4
Source: RefSeq, a predicted model, not a curated record
GUGUCUAAUCAUUUCCUUUAUAGGAGUUGUACAUUUUUCCGUUUUAUGUCUAUUGUUACUUCGCGAUCCAAAAAUAUUGCAUACAUCCCUUGUUGACCCGGACAACUUAGGGAAAUCUAGUAUAAUUGCUCUAGUCGUAUAUACUGCAAUACUAAUUUCUUGUAUUUUUUACAUACGAAUGUAUCAACAAAACAACAAGAGUUCCCCACCUCAAAUUAAGCAAUCCAAUGAAACACAUGUUGCCUUGCAUUCAAAACCUUCCAUUGAGCCUCAGUCUUGACCACCUUUUUCACUGUAAUUAGCAAAAAAAUUUUUUUUGUUUCUGAACAAAUGUCACUAAUUUCAUUCAUAAUUUCGUUACCAUUAUUAAUAUGUUAAAUGAUUGUAUAUAAGGCUGACUUUUGUAACUCUCGUUACACUAGUUAAAUAAAUACAAAGAAGUCCUUAUUUUUGAAGCUUUUUUCUUGAAUGUUGUGAAAUAAUUGAUUUUCCUAUUAACCAAUAAAAGACUCUAUAUAAAACACAUCCUUCUUACCAGUAUUGUUUUUUUGUUGAAACGCAUUUAAUAAAAAAAGUGUACUACCUGGCAUACGCGUGCACAGAUUUAAUGUCUUGCUUCCUUUUAUGUCCAAAAAUUAAAAAACGUUUUCUUAAAGUCUUAGAAAUACUUGAAGUUAAAAUACUUUUGACAAUUGAAGGUUUAACGUGGAGAUUCCCGUGAAUUGUAAACUUACGUUUAUAAAAAUCUUUUGAUUUAUAUGAGAAAAGGAUAGACAGACGACAACGAACAGUCAUGAAUGUGCUAAAGUUUUAUACUUUUAUAGAAAUCUAGACAGUGGUCGGACUUGGAAACAUUAAGUAACCAUUGUUUUUUUUGCUUUCACUGUUUUACGGCGGGCUUUUUUUUUAUUUUGACAAAUUGUCAAUAAAAGUCGUGCAAACACCUCGAUUCUCGUAUAAAAGCCUUCUUGGUGACUUGUUGAAAGAAGUAUUUCCUCCUUGAAAUUAAAAAAAAAAAAAAUAUCUCACAUCAUAGCAGUGUCGGAGCAAUGAGCUUAAUUUUCAGUUUUCUUUUUUUUCUGUCAAAAUUUUUAACCCCUUAUGAAAACAAUAAUGGUAAUGCUGUAAGAAAUGACUAGUAGAAAAACGACCUAUUUGCAAUUUUUUGAAAAAAAGUGGUAGGAUGACUUUUUCUUCUAAUAACAGGUAAGUUCGGAACCAGUGCACUGUUAACUUUUAGGUAACAAGAUACAUAAAAGAGUGAUCUGGUGUCAUAAGGAUUUCGUGAUUCAGAAAACAUUCACUGGUUCAUUUGUGUAACGCAGAGCGAAGGAAAAUAGCUUGAAAGUACGAUCAAAAGAUACCGAACCAAUAAACGCACCAUCUAAAAAAAGAAGAAAUAUUAUUUAUUAAGAGAAACACGUUCAAAACCGUACUAUCUGAAAUGUCAGCCCCUGUUAUACGGGCUUCAUGACCUAGAAGAAUACGACUACACGUAUAUUCUGUAGCAUUCCAAAUUUUAAGAGUACAGUCAAAACUGGUGCUAAGGAGGAAUCGACCAUGACAAGGCUUUUUUAUGUUGCCCCGUAAAAAAACAAAUGCCUUAAGAAUGAAACAACAUUAGUCUCUUACCUCAUAAACAACAUGAGAAAUUAACUUAUCAUGAGCUAAAAUCAUAUCUACACAUCUGCGAGUCAAAAAAAAUGAUCAAGGUGUCCUUAUAGUUUCACAAUUUCAGUACCUUUGCUUCCGUAUAUCCCAGAUUCGAAUAGUAUUAUCAUCCGAGCAUGUUGCCACUUGAUUUGGGCCUAUCAAGAAUACAAAAAAAAAACUGAGUUAAUUGAACUUACUAAAAAUUAAGCCUACGCCAAGGAUUUAUAGAGAUUCCCAAAACUUGCUUUAUAUGCCCCUAAUGCCGAAUGUAGAGAGAAAAAAAAAAUAUAGGUCAUACUUAUUUCAAAUGACUACACUUGAAUUACCAGAAGGGGGAACACAGAUCUGCCUGUACGUAAAUCCCAUCCUCGAAUAAUUCCCCCAAGAUCUCCCGAUAAAAUGAGAGACCCAUCUGGAUGAAAUUUUAAACUGUAAACGCCUCUAAAAAAUGAAGUGUUCAUGAACUAAAAAAUGAAACAAGGGCAGCAUACGUUGAGUGGCCUUCUUGCACUAAGAGUUCUUGUGAUCUUUCAACAUCCCAAAGUCGCCAUGUCUCAUCAUGUGACGAAGAAGCUAAAAAUCUUCCAGAAGGAUGGAAUUCCACAUGAUUUACACGAUCAUCGUGACCUGAACGAUUUGUAAAAUAGCAUGGGUUCCAAUAAAAUGAAAAAGAAAAAACCUUCAAGUAUACUGAGCGAUUUCAUGGAUUUCAAUGACCAUAAAAUGAUUUUGGUAUCUGCGCCACCAGACGCUAAAUGGACUCCUUCUGAAAAAUCAAUAGGAUGUGUGUCUUCAGAAACUAAAUUUUGGUUUCGA